AGCCCGAUGGUGUAACUGGCAACACGCCGCGUUUUGACCGCGGAGAGUCUAGGUUCGAGCCCUAGUCGGGCUA
RNAcentral lists this transfer RNA (73 nucleotides) under Planctomycetota bacterium. Its description in RNAcentral is "Planctomycetes bacterium tRNA-Gln". It matches the Rfam family "tRNA". From Rfam's summary of the family: Transfer RNA (tRNA) molecules are approximately 80 nucleotides in length. Their secondary structure includes four short double-helical elements and three loops (D, anti-codon, and T loops). Further hydrogen bonds mediate the characteristic L-shaped molecular structure. tRNAs have two regions of fundamental functional importance: the anti-codon, which is responsible for specific mRNA codon recognition, and the 3' end, to which the tRNAs corresponding amino acid is attached (by aminoacyl-tRNA synthetases). tRNAs cope with the degeneracy of the genetic code in two manners: having more than one tRNA (with a specific anti-codon) for a particular amino acid; and 'wobble' base-pairing, i.e. permitting non-standard base-pairing at the 3rd anti-codon position. The record is from RNAcentral. Lineage: Bacteria; Pseudomonadati; Planctomycetota.